CAGUAGCCACGGGAACACGGAGGGCGCGAGCGUUACCCGGAUUUACUGGGCGUAAAGCGUGCGUAGGCGGUGAGUUAAGUCUGCUGUGAAAUCCCCGGGCUCAACCUGGGAAUGGCAGUGGAUACUGGCUCGCUAGAGUGUGUCAGAGGAUGGUGGAAUUCCCGGUGUAGCGGUGAAAUGCGUAGAGAUCGGGAUGAACAUCAGUGGCGAAGGCGGCCAUCUGGGACAACACUGACGCUGAGGCACGAAAGCGUGGGGAGCAAACAGGAUUAGAUACCCCGGUAGUCCCUGUCUCUUAUAC
Molecule: ribosomal RNA, 301 nt
Filed under: uncultured bacterium
Lineage: Bacteria
Description: partial 16S ribosomal RNA
Rfam family: Bacterial small subunit ribosomal RNA
Source: RNAcentral